UACAGCGGUCCAUACAUGCGAAUACUUUUGUCCACGCUAGUCUUGUGGGGUGCACAUCUGCGAAAAGGGAUCUGUCGUGCAGAGUGUGCAGACGUGCAGUGUGGUACGUCUAGUUUUUUAUUCCAUGGGCCCAAUACUGUCUUCUCUAAAGUUGUCUGGGUGGCGUGGACCCAGGUUAGGCCCCUGUCCUGCUUCGGUCUCACACACCAAAUCCCUUUUCUGAUUGGGGGCAUUGACCACACUGAGCCGGCAACAAAUUGGGCACUCGAGAUCGACAGGGGCGACAACCGAUUCAGUGGUGCGCGAGGUGGCGUACGUUUUGGGCGCCGCCGGUCCAGUCGUGGCCGAUUCGGUCGUAGGCGUGGACUCACCGGAGAUGCGUCCGUUGGAUCAGGGCCGGGCUCUUCGGGGCCAGGCCGGUGCCUUGCCUGAUCUCGAGUUCUCCGGCGCGUCCUGUACGACGUUCAGUUCUGGGAGCUGAGGUGUGGCGUCGGUAGGCGCCGGCAACGGGGCACCCACCGUGGACUCGUGCAGCGGGAUUUAGUCCUUCCGCCCUGGUGCCGCGACAGCGGCAAACACCACUAUACGCGUUGGCUGGAAGCGCAUGUACCUCCUGCAUCUUUUUGGCUGAGACGAAGGCGCAUUUUUUAGUGUGCUUAAAGAAAACCAUUUUGUCCUGGCCCCGGGGCACCUUGGGCACAAGAUCAAUGGCAACGGUGGUGGAGUUGCCCGGAGACGACGAGCAGAAGAGGAGCUCUGGGACAUCUCAGCAUAGCGGCGAUGGAUCAGGAUAGUGAGAUGCUUUGCGUGGUGGAAGACGUUGCCAGCCAUCAGUACUGAACUGCGACGUGUGAGAGUAAUCGGUCUGGUUGCAUGGUCAUUAAAUGCAUCUGUGAUGAAAAGAGUUUACGUUAUACAGUGCACCAUGCGUUUUUCGUCCGCUCGCCUGCGCGCGUACUCGGCGUGUCAGAUCUUGUUGUCAGGUGUCGUCCUUUUGAAUACGGAUAUACGCCACAUAUCACUCUCCAACAGUUGCCUAUACUCUAACUGCUCGGCUGCUUCCAAUCGCGACGGCACGCGCGCCGUUGAUGCGGUGCGUGUAGAUGCCACUGCGUGCAGCGAUGCACUUCUCGUAGUAACCGUCUUAGACUCGAAACGAAAAGAUCUUCAGAACUAUGUGGACAUGACUCAAAUGCUCGAGAAAAAAGUUAAAUCGAUCAUUAUCCACCAU
Molecule: non-coding RNA, 1231 nt
Organism: Aegilops tauschii subsp. strangulata
Lineage: Eukaryota; Viridiplantae; Streptophyta; Magnoliopsida; Poales; Poaceae
Source: RefSeq, a predicted model, not a curated record